UAUAAGCUGUAUCUGGUGGACUGUGUCAAAGGUCUAAAGUUCAAGGUUUCAGAUAUGGCACCACAGUCACCUGAGACUUGAAGCAAGAGCCGCUCACCUGAUUUGAAACAGUUUGGAUAACAAACCAUUGGGUACUGCUGAAAUGUAUCAGGGAAUUAGUUGUCAUAAAAACAUUCAAAAUGAACAUCCCAAAGUGCCAGCAAGCAGGAAACAGACAUGUCAGUAAGGAAGCAGGGAGUGGCAGGCAUCCUCCAAUGGAGUUAGAGAAAUCCUAAUUGCUCACACCUGCAGAGGCUGUCACUUUUGUAAGGCUCCAUGAUGGUAGAGACCCUACCGAGUGCCUAACAUGUGGCAGGCGCUCCACACACACUUUCGGAAUGAAUGAAUCCACAGAUCAACCACAGGAAAGAGGUAGUGUUAUGGUCUGCAUUUCACACACCAGGAC
Molecule: long non-coding RNA, 445 nt
Organism: Prionailurus viverrinus (fishing cat)
Lineage: Eukaryota; Metazoa; Chordata; Mammalia; Carnivora; Felidae
Exons: 3
Source: RefSeq, a predicted model, not a curated record